AGCACGGAUAGAAAUGGUUGAAAAUCAAUUAUUUGUUACCAGAGAAUCUCCGUUGUAAGUUGUACUGACUGAUCCCUAAAAUGUGCAAAUACGUGAUUCUAAUACUUUUAAUUGUAAUUAUUGCUUCUGUUUGUCAAGCAGCUACAGAAGAUUGUCUUCCAAAUGAAUCGACCUGUGAAAGAGCAGCACAGUGUUGUAGUGUAUUUUGUUCCCAAGCACGUGUUAAUGAAGAAUUAAAGUGUACUACUUCAACGUGGGAAGAUUAAAGCAUGCCUAAACCGUCGAUUUGUCAAAUAGCUGAACCAAAUCGACUCCAUAUUAUUCAAAUAUGUACAUCGUUUAAUUAAUAUAAAGACAAUAUUUUUUUUAUUUUUAAUUUAAAAAGCUAUAAAUUAUAAUUAAUUGUAACAAAAUAUUGUUAUCGG
This is a long non-coding RNA of Cotesia glomerata, 425 nucleotides long. RefSeq lists it as uncharacterized. The record is from RefSeq and is a predicted model, not a curated record. Lineage: Eukaryota; Metazoa; Arthropoda; Insecta; Hymenoptera; Braconidae. The transcript has 3 exons.